Molecule: long non-coding RNA, 35396 nt
Filed under: Nicotiana tabacum (common tobacco)
Lineage: Eukaryota; Viridiplantae; Streptophyta; Magnoliopsida; Solanales; Solanaceae
Description: long non-coding RNA (NTAB_LNC003105)
Source: RNAcentral
UUUUUUUUUGUUUUCAAAACAAACUUCCCCAACUUCUAUUUUCUAGGGGCAUGGACCUUCGAAUGUUCUUUUUUCUUUUUCUUUUUCACUUGAAUUUCUAAAAUUCCCCAGUUUGUACUUUGGGAGCAUGGACUUUUCUUUUCAUUUUUUUUUCUGACUUUUGACUCUAAAAUUGAUUCCAAAAGAGGGUGAUCAAAGAAAAUAACACAUGCUCAAAAGGUGUAACAAAGGGUAUAAAGUGUUUGGGUAGCAGAACAAGGGCCUCCUAGCCUCUAGAGUGCCAAUCAUGGUUUCCUUUCGCGACACAGCAUUGAUGAACAUGUCUGUCUUAUUGGUGUGUCGUGGUCGGAAGACACUUUUCACCCAUUAAUGUCAAACUUUCCAAUAAACUUCAAUUGAUUCUUCCUCAAACCCGACCUUCACAAUGAUUUGAAGGUAAAGAUCAUUAACCUCCACGGGUCAUUUUAUUCGAGCUUAAUUCCAAAGUGUUUCAACUCUUUAUUCAUCCUCAAAUGUUCCUUUUUCUCAUUUAUCCAAUUCAAGCUUAAAUCCGUUUUCUAAGAUCUGGCCAAAAAUUCCGCAAGCAUGUCAUAUCACUAAAACUAGCGGGAAAAGAACUAAGCAUGGACAAACAACCUAAAAUCCGAGUUACAACCCUAAAAUAACCCGGCUAAUGAAAAUAGCAACAAAACGGACAGACAAGACUCACACAAACAAAAUAGAGGGAUAGAAGGGUUUGACUCAAUAAAACAAAUAAAAUCUGGAUCACACCCUGAAAUAACCCAGAUAAUAGAAAAAAUAUCAAAACAAGCUACCAAGAUUCCUUCCUAGUGAGGAGGGAAUGACUUUUCAAUUGCUAAGCUUGACAUUUAGCCAUAAAUUUGCUCAUCAGAAUCACCAUGGCCUUCUCCAAUUUCAGUCGGCAAGUUCCCGAGAGGAUUCUCAUACUCCAUGUCACCACACAUCAUCCCCACAAAGUGUACAUCAUCAUGUGCAUGUAAAGGAUUCUGCAUCAUAUUCUGGGUGUCAUUAUCUUGGAUCACAAUCAGUUUUUCCUGGAUCAUCCUUUCUAUUUCUCUUUUAAAAUCCCGACAACUUUCAACAUUGUGCCCCUGGGCAUUAGAAUGGUAUUCACACCUUUUAGAAGAGUCAAAGCUUUUUGCACAUGGGUCCACAUAAUUUGGAGGAAUAGGUGCAAUCAUGUCAUAAUGCUUUAAUUUCUCAAACACACUUGCAUAGGACUCUCCUAUUGGUGUAAAAUUAUCUUUCAACCUUUGUUCCCCUCUAUACCCCUGGCUUGGAUGUGGGUUAUAGGGCACUUAAAAAUUUUGUGAAGGCUGGUGGAGAUUUUGCGGUGCUGGUGCUCGCCUUAUGGGGUGUCUUGGUGGCUGCACAACAUACUGAAGUGGAGCAAUAGAGUAUUGUGGGUUCUGAGGUGGAUAGUAGUGCUCAGGGGAAUCAUCGAAAACCUGAUNNNNNNNNNNNNNNNNNNNNNNNNNNNNNNNNNNNNNNNNNNNNNNNNNNNNNNNNNNNNNNNNNNNNNNNNNNNNNNNNNNNNNNNNNNNNNNNNNNNNNNNNNNNNNNNNNNNNNNNNNNNNNNNNNNNNNNNNNNNNNNNNNNNNNNNNNNNNNNNNNNNNNNNNNNNNNNNNNNNNNNNNNNNNNNNNNNNNNNNNNNNNNNNNNNNNNNNNNNNNNNNNNNNNNNNNNNNNNNNNNNNNNNNNNNNNNNNNNNNNNNNNNNNNNNNNNNNNNNNNNNNNNNNNNNNNNNNNNNNNNNNNNNNNNNNNNNNNNNNNNNNNNNNNNNNNNNNNNNNNNNNNNNNNNNNNNNNNNNNNNNNNNNNNNNNNNNNNNNNNNNNNNNNNNNNNNNNNNNNNNNNNNNNNNNNNNNNNNNNNNNNNNNNNNNNNNNNNNNNNNNNNNNNNNNNNNNNNNNNNNNNNNNNNNNNNNNNNNNNNNNNNNNNNNNNNNNNNNNNNNNNNNNNNNNNNNNNNNNNNNNNNNNNNNNNNNNNNNNNNNNNNNNNNNNNNNNNNNNNNNNNNNNNNNNNNNNNNNNNNNNNNNNNNNNNNNNNNNNNNNNNNNNNNNNNNNNNNNNNNNNNNNNNNNNNNNNNNNNNNNNNNNNNNNNNNNNNNNNNNNNNNNNNNNNNNNNNNNNNNNNNNNNNNNNNNNNNNNNNNNNNNNNNNNNNNNNNNNNNNNNNNNNNNNNNNNNNNNNNNNNNNNNNNNNNNNNNNNNNNNNNNNNNNNNNNNNNNNNNNNNNNNNNNNNNNNNNNNNNNNNNNNNNNNNNNNNNNNNNNNNNNNNNNNNNNNNNNNNNNNNNNNNNNNNNNNNNNNNNNNNNNNNNNNNNNNNNNNNNNNNNNNNNNNNNNNNNNNNNNNNNNNNNNNNNNNNNNNNNNNNNNNNNNNNNNNNNNNNNNNNNNNNNNNNNNNNNNNNNNNNNNNNNNNNNNNNNNNNNNNNNNNNNNNNNNNNNNNNNNNNNNNNNNNNNNNNNNNNNNNNNNNNNNNNNNNNNNNNNNNNNNNNNNNNNNNNNNNNNNNNNNNNNNNNNNNNNNNNNNNNNNNNNNNNNNNNNNNNNNNNNNNNNNNNNNNNNNNNNNNNNNNNNNNNNNNNNNNNNNNNNNNNNNNNNNNNNNNNNNNNNNNNNNNNNNNNNNNNNNNNNNNNNNNNNNNNNNNNNNNNNNNNNNNNNNNNNNNNNNNNNNNNNNNNNNNNNNNNNNNNNNNNNNNNNNNNNNNNNNNNNNNNNNNNNNNNNNNNNNNNNNNNNNNNNNNNNNNNNNNNNNNNNNNNNNNNNNNNNNNNNNNNNNNNNNNNNNNNNNNNNNNNNNNNNNNNNNNNNNNNNNNNNNNNNNNNNNNNNNNNNNNNNNNNNNNNNNNNNNNNNNNNNNNNNNNNNNNNNNNNNNNNNNNNNNNNNNNNNNNNNNNNNNNNNNNNNNNNNNNNNAGAUUCAAUCUGGACAGCCUGAGUUGCAGCUUUGAGAACUGCUUGACUUAUAAUUUUGCCUGUCUUAAGGCCAUCCUCAACCAUUUCCCCAAUUUUGAUUGCUUCCGAGAAGGAUUUGCCCACUGCGGACAUCAUGUUUUGAAAAUAAUCUGGUUCUUGAGCCUGAAGAAAGACAGUGAUUAGCUCGUGGUCAUCCAUGGGUGGCUUAACUCUAGCUGCUUUCUCUCUCCAUUUAAUGGCAUAUUCCCUGAAACUUUCAGUUGGUUUCUUCUUCAGGUUUGAAAGGGAAUUGCAGUCUGGGGCGAUAUCGAUCUUGUAUUGGAACUGUUUGACAAAGGCCUGGGCCAUGUCAUCCCAGACAUGCCAGUGAGAGGUUUCUUGAUCCAUAAACCAUUCAGAGGCUACCCCUAUCAGGCUUUCCCCGAAAUAAGCCAUUACUAGUUCUUCUUUUCCCUCCACACCUCUUAGCUGAUUGCAAUACCUUUUCAGGUGGGCUAUGGGGUCUCCGUGUCCAUCAUACUUUUCAAAUUUGGGAGUCUUAAAACCAAGUGGCAAACGAACACCGGGGAACAUACAUAGAUCCUUGAAGGCAAUACUCUUCUGACCUGCCGACCCUUGCAUGUUUUUUAACUUUUGUUCUAAGCUUUUCACUCUUUGGGUCAUUUCUUCUUGUGCCAUCUUUCGGGUAGGCUUCUCUAUCUUUGAAGGAAGAUCAAAUAGAUACGAGUGGUACUCAGGAGAAUGGUAUUGUUCUUGCUGGGUAGAAAAUUAUGACUCAUGACUUUUCUUUUGUACCACUGUUGGCUGUGGGAUAGUGAAAACGGGCAUAACAAUAGUAAUUAUCUGAUUGGUUGUCAAUGGCACACUUUGGGAACGCGCAACAAAAGUUCCAGUUGUAGUCGUACAGUUGGGAUAAAGACUGAACCCAAAUGGAUAGGAUCGAUCAGACAAUAAGACAGGAGUGGUAAUAGCCGAGAUGGGUGUGAAUUUUGGGAAAACAUGAGAAAGGGGUGGUCCCUGACCAUUGGCCGAUACUUGACACAUUUUAGUCAUUUGCUGUUUCGGUAUUUUAUUUUUCUCAACCACAGUAGACUCUUGUUGAACCCUCUGACCCCGAGUCUCUUGACCACUCGUAACAACUUCAAUGUCAGUUGUCAAUGACAUUUUUCCUUUGGAUUUUGUGUUGCCAGCUUGCCACAAACUGACAACCUCAAACUUUCUUCUAUGAUUCAAAAUAAGAGACACGUUAGAAUGGACUCAAUCGGUCCUUAUUAUCAUCAUCAUUUUUUUUUUCAUUUUUUCAUUUUUUUUGGUCAAUCGAACCUGAUGUGGGUUGCCUACGUAUCAUGUGGGAACAUGAAUCAGAUCGUGCAUAGUUCGGAAAGAUCAAGAAUAAAGCAAAUAAACUAACUCUUUUUUUUUCUAAUUUCCGAAAGUCAAGAACAUUAUUAAAGAAGAAAAGAAAAUAAUUUUUGAANNNNNNNNNNNNNNNNNNNNNNNNNNNNNNNNNNNNNNNNNNNNNNNNNNNNNNNNNNNNNNNNNNNNNNNNNNNNNNNNNNNNNNNNNNNNNNNNNNNNNNNNNNNNNNNNNNNNNNNNNNNNNNNNNNNNNNNNNNNNNNNNNNNNNNNNNNNNNNNNNNNNNNNNNNNNNNNNNNNNNNNNNNNNNNNNNNNNNNNNNNAAUCCUGCAUGAGGCUGUGUUAUUCUAAGUUUAAAUCCUGGGUGUAUUGUUCUAGACCUGGCUUACCCGAGCGGACAACUCGAGUUGGGGAGGGGGGGGGGAGAGCGUAUCGGGAAUAUAGAAGCUUCACCGGCUUUGCAACUUUUCCGAACCUCGUUCUAAAAUUAGGAUAUGAAUCUAACAGAAAAGAAGUCACGCGAAGCGCACGCUUCCCAGAAAAUUUAGAAGACUCAGAGAGAAGAAAGGUUUUCGUAACAGUUUAUAUAUAGUUCAUAACAAUAUCAAAGCGGUAAAGAGAGGCAAUUAGCACAUUAGGCUCAAACAAGUAAUAUCAGACAAUCAUGAAAGCCAAGCAUAACAGUUAUCUAAGCUCGAAUUCUGAACCCUGAACCAGAGAUUCUGGGUUCUUGUCCCCAGCAGAGUCACCAGAGUUGUCACACCUCCUUUUUCCCGAGGGGAUAUGGGAAUAGAGAGUUUUUCCAAUUAAAGUGACAUUAAUCGAAAUGGGAUUAUUUAAUCAUUCAGAGUCGCCACUUGGAAUAAUUUAUGGUGUCCCAAGUCACAGGUUUAUUUUUAAAUCCCAAAUCGAGAAAAUUGACUCUUAUUUAUGGUCCGCGAACACAGAAGACCGGGUAAGGAAUUCUGUUAACUCGAAAGAAGGUGUGAGGCACUCCCGAGUUCUGUGAUUUUAGCACGGUCGCUUAACAAUUAAUACUUGGUUAAUUAUCUGAUUCAUUACAUUGUUUAAAAACUUAUUGUGCAUUUUACCUUUAAAAACGCUUUUCGUACUUAUGGAAUUUAUUUGAACAAGUCGCGAUAUUGUGCACUUGUCAUUUGGUACAUGUUGCAAACCGCGCCACAUGAAAUGCACCCGCGAUUUACGACAUGUUUAUUUUUAUUAUUUGAAGUUAUGGUUGGGUCACAUGAAAUGCACACCCAAAUUUGGAUUUAUGUAUCGUGACCAUACCACGGGAACCGUACCCAUGGCCACUAUAAUUAUUAAUCACGCCUAAAGCAACUAGCGAUAUAUAGUUGUUUAUUCAACUGUUUGAGAUCAUGUACUGGGGUCUAUAGCUAAGGAGUCAAUGUUGGGAUAAAUUACAGAUAAGGUUGAAGAACUUAAUGACGGGAAUUUCUGAGCCAUGGAAGUUUGAAUUAAUUGCCAACGUACAUACCAACAGACUAAAUUGAUGGAUGAAAUUGGAUCACAAUCUAACUGUUGAGGAAUUUCGCAUGCAUAACCGGAAAUGAAUUAAUAGCCACUUUAGACAUUGCAGUGAUAGCCACUUUAGAGUAAUAGCCAAUUUUAGCCUUCAUUUUCCAGAUAAUUAAUCAACUCAAAUGCUAAAACUUACAAUAACAGAUACACAUAACAAGUCUAAGAACCAGAACAGAUUUAGAACAUAAUGAUUUCAGAACUUAACAAAACUUAACAGUAGAAUCAUAUUCAAUUAAUCAUAUUCAUAUUUUAGCUACUAACUUUCAUCGGUCAAACAUUCACAUGUACUGCCACGAAGGAUGGAAUUAAUCUUUGAUUCUAAGAAUGAUCCAAACAAUAGCAAUUAAGAAGCAGACAUGUCUCAAAUCUGAAGACAGAUAUGAUGUUAUAAUCGAAAGGUGAUAUUCAAUUAAUACUAUGGACAUUACAUGAAGCAAGAAGCAAAGAGGGGGUACCUGGAGAGCAAGUCUACAGCUCCAAAAACCAGAUAAAAGGCGAAGAAAUCGGCUGAUUGGUGCCUCAAUGAAGUAAACCUUCUUCAAUAAAGCAAGACUUGUACAAUCUGAGUAUCUUUCAACCAGCAAAAAUCAAACUUCUAAAUGCAGUGAAAUCAGCGACUUCAAGUGAAUUUACAAUUCAAAUGCUCAGACUUUUUUGAAGCUCACAAGCAACAAGAUCGCGAACAGAACCUCGGCAGGCGACGGACUGACCGAACUUUGCCGGAGAAACUCAAAUCUCGCCGACAAACUCGAACUCUACUCAACCCGGAGAACAAUGAAGCUCAAAGUGCUGACUGGAAUUGAAAUUUAGUGCAUUUUCGGGGUUACGGCGGGGCCGAUUUGAGUUGGAUUUUUUAUUUUAUUUUGAAGCUAUUUUCAGCUAGUUCUUAUGGUGAGAAGGACAGUGGUUUAUCGUUCAAGCACAGUUGAAUAUCAGUGAUUUUUUUUGAGGUUUCAGUGGAGAUAAGGAAGAAUGAGAAGAUGGAAAGCUACUGAUUUUUCUUCAAAGGAGGUGUGGCCAAUUUUUUUCCCUCUGUCCGGUGGUCCUCCCCCUUUUCGUUCUCUGUUUUCCCCGUUCCCUCUCUAAUCUCCUUAUUUUCAGAUCUAUUCCUCUUUUACCCUUGCGUGUGUCCGUGUGUUUGUCUAGGGUAGGUGUUAUUUGUAGGAAAUUGCUAGAAAAGUGCAUGUGAAUUAGUUAUCAGAUGAUGAUAAGAGAGAAUCUUUUGCCAUGUGACAAUUUUCCAUUGGCUCCUUUUUUUAUCUCUUUUUUUUAAGGUAAUCUAAAAAUUUAAAUUACUACACUAAUAUUUUAAACUAGAUAAAAUAUAAUAAACUACUAAGAAAAGUUAUAAAAUUAUUAGUCUUACCAAAUUAAAAGAAACAUAUAUUUUUUGUAAUUUUUCUUUUCUUUUUGCAAAUAAAACACAACUAAUAUAUAAAAAUGUGACUCUUUUUAUAUGAUUUCAAUUUUAUCAAAUAAACCUACUAAAAUAAGUGAAAUAAAGGUUAAAAUAUGUAGAUUAAACUUAAAAUUAUUAACAACUAAAAAGUGUUGAAAAAUCUCAAAUAUAGUCAAAAUUUAGGUGCUCACAGUAUGUAGCUCGGUGCCUAAACUGUAUGAGCAUCAGCGACCAGGUGGAUUGCUUCAGAAGCUAGAGAUUUCAGAUUGGAAAUGGGAGAAGAUUAUUAUUGAUUUUAUUGUCGGGCUCCCGCGGACUCAGAGAAAGUUUGAUGCAGUUUGGGUGAUUGUGGAUAGGUUGACCAAGUCGGCUCAUUUCAUUCUAGUGAUGACUACAUAUUCUUCUGAGCAGAUGGCUCGAGUUUAUAUCCGUGAGAUUGUCAGACUUGAUGGCGUGCCGGUACCCAUCAUUUCUGACCGGGGUACGUAGUUUACAUCGCAGUUCUAGAGAGUCGUACAACAUGAGUUAGGUACUCGGGUUGAGUUGUGCAUAACAUUUCACCCUCAUACAGAUGGGAAGUCUGAGUGCACUAUUUAGAUAUUGGAGGACAUGCUCCGUGUAUGUGUGAUGGAGUUUGGGGAUUCUCUGGAUCUGUUCUUGCCGCUUGCAAAGUUUGAAAACAACAACAGUUACCAGUCGAGCAUUCAUAUGGCCCCGUAUGAGGCUUUAUAUUAUAAACGGUGUCGGUCUCUAGUACAUUGGUUUGAGUCGGGCGAGGCUAGGCUAUCGGGUACAUACUUGGUUCAGGAUGUUUUCGAAAAGGUUAAAUUGAUUCAGGAUCAACUUCGUGUAGCCCAAUCUAGAUAGAAGGGUUAUGUGGAUCAGAAGGUUCGUGAUGUUGCAUUCAUGGUUGGGGAGCGGGUCUUGCUCCAGGUUUCUCCCAUUAGGGGGUUAUGAGGUUCGGGAAGAAGGGAAAGUUGAGCCCUAGGUAUAUUGGACCGUUUGAGAUACUUGAGAGGAUUGGAGACGUGGCCUACAGGCUUGCACUACCACCUAGUCUAGCUGCAAAUCAUCCAGUAUUCCAUGUUUCUAUGCUCUGGAAGUAUCAGGGCGAUCUGUCUCAUGUGUUAGACUUCAACUCAGUCCAGUUGGACAAGGAUCUAUCUUAUGUUGAGGAGCCGGUAGCCAUUUUGGACAGGCAGGUUCGAAAGUUAAGGUAGAAAGACAUUACUUCAGUGAAGGUUCAGUGGAGGGGUCAUCCAGUCGAGGAGGUGACUUGGGAGACCGAGCACGAUAUGUGUAGCCACUAUCCUCAUCUAUUCACCACUUCAGGUAUGUCUCUAUACUCGUUCGAGGACGAACGUUUGUUUUACGAGGGGGAGGAUGUAAAGACCUGGCUAGUCAUUUUGAGUAUUUUAACCCUGAUCCCCUAAUUUAUGCUCCCUCUAUGUCAUAUUGUGGUUAUGUGACUUUCUGGGGUGCUUAGUUUCGGGUUUGGGGGAGUUUCAGAGUAAAAUGGGACACAUAAUCCCUAAGUUGGAAGUUUAAGUCGUAGGAGUUGACCGUAGUAUGACUUGUGUGAAGACGACUCUGGAAUAGAGUUUUGAUGGUAUAGAUAGCUACGUAUGGUGAUUUUGGCCUUAGGAGCAUUUACGUAUGUUGAUUUGGAGGUCUGUAGGUCGUUUCGACAUGAUUUCGAGAAACAUGGAAAAUUUAAGGAAUUUCGAAAGUUUGACCGAAAAUGGACUUUAUUGAUAUCGGGCUCGGAUCCCGAUUAUGGAAAUUGGAAUAGGUCUGUAGUGUCAUUUAUGACUUGGGUGCAAAAUUUGAGGUCAAUCAGAGUUGAUUUGGUAUGAAUUGGCAUCAGUUUUGGAAUUUGGAAGUUCAUCAUUUCUUAGGCUCGAAUCGAUGUGAGAUUCAUGAUUAUAGGGUUGUUUGAUGUGAUUCGAUGCUUCGAGCGUAUUCGUAUGAUAUUUUAGGACUUGUUUAUAUGCUUGGUUGAGGUCCCAGGGCCUCGGGUGUAAUUCGGACCAUGUUCCGCACAUUUCGGGUCAUUUAGGAAUACCUGAAGUUCUAGUUUCUUUUAGGUCUGGUUUCCUUCCAUGCGAUCGCGAGGUUUGGUCUGCGAUUGCAAAGGGAUAUUUGUGGACUCUUGGUUUUUACUCUUCACGUUCGCAGAGAGUGGGAAGCAAUAGCGAAAGGUUGGUUCCCUGUGAAUCGCGAACGCGUGGAGAAGGUUGCGUUCACGUAGAGGAAUUUGGGGGCAGCACGCCCACACACUUUGUUCAUUGCAAUCGCUUGUAGGAACCGCGAUCGCGUAGCUCGAUGAGGCAGUGCUUCACGUUCGCAUGGAAAAUCUCACGUUGCAUAUAAGGUUUAGAGCUGAUGGAAUUUUUGUUCUUCGCGAUCGCGAAGGAAAUGUCGCGAUCGCGAUGAGUAAUUAACUAGGCAGUAGACUUACGUUCCAAAAUCGAGGGUUUAUUUCAUAUUUCACAUUUUGAACAAAGAGAGCUGGGUUUGAGGCAAACUUUCGAGGGUUUUUCAGAGGGAUUAUUGAGGUAAGAAUUCCUAACUCGAUUUUGGUUAAAUUACACUAAUCUAUCACUAUUGUUUUCAUGUAAUUAAGGAAUGGAGUUGGAAAAAUUGGGGAAAAGUGGUACAACUUCUUAGACUAAGUUUUUGGGUUUUGAACGGCAAAAUGAGGUCAGAUUUGGAUAAUUUUUGUAUGGUUGGACUCGAUAUCGAAUGGGUGUUCGGAUUUUAUAAUUUUGGUUGGGUUUCAAGGCGCGGGCCUGGGUUGACUUUUUGGGUCGAUUUUUCAAUUCUUUGCAAAUAUCGUAAUUUCAAUGUUUGAAUUAAUAUCCUAUAGUUAUAUUUAUAGUAUGAAAUUAUUUUGGAUAGAUUUGAGCGGGGAGUUGACUUUUUGAUAUCGCAGUCGGAAUCUAAUUCUGAAAAUUUUCAUAGAUCCGUUAUGUCAUUUAUGAAUUGUGUGCAAAAUUUCAAGUUAACCGGACUUGAAUUGAUAAGUUUCAGCAUCGAAUGUAGAAGUUGGGAGUUCUUAGUUUCAUUAAGCUUGAAUUAGGGGUAUGAUUCGUGGUUUUAGCGUUGUUUGAUGUGAUUUGAGGUUUCGACUAAGUUUGUAUGAUGUUUUAGGACUUGUUGUGUGUUUGGUUGAGGUCCCGGGGGUCUCGGGUGAGUUUCGGAUGGCAAACGGAUCAAAUUCGGACUUGGAAGAAAUCUGGAAAUUUCUGCCUUCUGGUUCAAUCGCACCUGCGAAAUUUUUCUCGCAAGUGUGAGCUCGUAGACGCGAGCCUGGCAAGCGCAGAAGCAGACGAGGGGCUGGUGAGGCAGUGGUCGCAGGUGCGGACGGGUGGUCCGCAGAAGCGGACAGCUUCUCGCAGAAGCGAAUCCGCAGAAGUGAUGAAGCCGAAUAAGCUAAGGUAUUAUCGCAUCUGCGAGACCGCAGAUGCAUCUAAGAAUCCUGCAGAAGCGGAAACCCCUGGACAGUACAAAAACAGAGGGGUUCCGAGUUUUUGCCAUUUUUGGGCAUUUCAAUCUCGGGCUAGGCGAUUUUGAGCGAGGUUUUCAUGGGAAUUCUUGAGAUAAGUCACUUGUGAUCAUUUCUACUCUAUAAUAUUGAAUUAUCAUUGAAUAAUCCGACUAGAUUAUGUGUUUUUGAGGUGUAAAUCGGGAAUUUGGGCCUAGGGAUUUGGAAAUAAGAUUUGAUGAUUUGAAGGUCUAGUUGAUGUCGGAAUUUGGUAAAAUUUAUAUGGUUAGACUCGUGGUUGAACGUGAGUUCAUAUUUUGUAACUUUUGUCAGGAUCCGAGACGUGGGCCCCACAGGCAAGUUUUGGAGUGCAAUUUCGGAUUUUAAAGGAAAAUUAGUAUUUUUAUAUGGAAUUAAUUCCUAUAAUUUGCAUUGACUGAAUCAAAUUAAUUAUGACUAGAUUCGAGGCAUUUGGAGAUCGAUUUGCGAGGCAAGGGUAUAGCGGAGUAAGAAAUUACACGUUUUGAGGUAAGUAACAUUUCUAAACUUGGUUUUGAGGGUGUGAAUCCCCGAAUUUGGUGUUAUAUAAAUUGUUUGGAGGUGACACCCAUGAUAGGUGAUGAGCGUGUGGCGUGCACCAUAGAAAUUAUGAUUUGAAUAAAUCUUGUAAAGUUGUAAAAUUAAAGAAUCAUGUUAUUAACUUAACAUUUACCACGUGUUAAGGAAAUUGAGCUGGGUCUCUUAUUAAAGAUCGUGUUUAGGCUAUGUGCCGGUAUUUUGGGACCCACAUGGGUCGUGUUACUGGUGAAUUAAUUGUUUUAAAAAUGUACAUUUCACACUCAGUCAUAUUCGUCCAUUGUGAGAGGAUAUUUAUGGGAUCGGGACUGCCCGCCUGCAGUAGACCAUAUUGGCUUUAUAUAUAUUAUAAUUAUAUGGAUCGGGGUUGCCCGCCUCAGUAGGCCAUAUCGGCUUUAUUACUAUAUGGAUCGGAGCUGCCCGCUUGCAGUAGGCCUUAUAGGCUUUAUUAUUAUACGGAUCGGGACUGCCGCCUGCAGUAGGCCAUAUCGGCUUUAUAUCACGCUUGGGCUGAAAGAGCCCCUCCGGAGUCUGUACAUACCCCCAAUGAGCGUAGAUGAUUUAUAUAUUCAGGAUGGACUUCCCAGGGCAUGGACUUGCCUUACAUAUUUAUAUUGUGAUAAAUUUUUCUGGACAUGGAUCUUAUCCGUAUCAUUUACAUUUGGGGAUAAAUUUCCCAGGGCUGGAUUGGCCAUAUACAGUACUGAGUCACCGAAUGAAUUGUGACCAGUAGUACAUGAGGUCUUUCCACUGAGAUGUCAUAUUCCUCAUAUCAUGCAUUAUUUAUCUAUUUUUCUUGUACUGAGUUUAACUGUUGAACUUGAAAUGCCUACAUUCCUGCACCAUUUAUUUUCAUGUACUGGACUGUACCUGUGGAGCUCGUCACUACUUUCAGCCCAGAGGUUAGUCUUGUUACUUAUUGAGUUGGUUGUACUCAUACUACACUCUACACCUCGUGUGCAGAUCUAGGUGCUUUCGGACAUGGCGACUGUUAGACCUCAGUGUGUUACCAGUUGGAGACUAUAAAGGUAGUUGCUUGGAGUUCGCUGACCUUGUCUCUCUUUCCUUCAGUUAUUGUACUGUUCUAUACUUUCAGACAGUGUUUGAUCAGUCAGACUUUGUAUUCAUAUUAGAUGCCCAUAUACUCAGUAACACCAGGUUUUGGGAGUGUUUAUAUCUGUAUUUGUGAGAUUUUUUUCGCUGAAUUUAAAUAUUAUGUUUCAAACUUAAAAGACAUGGUGAUGUAUUGAGAUUGUCGGCUUGCCUAGUAUUGAUAUAGGUGCCAUCACGACAGGUGAGAUUUUGGGUCGUGAUACUUUGUGUGGGGGAACUUCCCCUUAGGAUUGGUGUUACUUGUGAUAAUUGUGAUGUGUAAGAGCCGUGUACGCAAGGUGACGAGUAUGUACACUGGAUAAAUGCAGAAAAUUACCCAUUUUUAGCUAUGUAAAAUUCCUUCCAUGCCUUAAUUGAGUUACUUUAACAUGUUAUAGUCUUCAUUUUUACUCUAAUUUCACAUGUCUAAUUGUCUUAUCUCUUACUUGCUAAUUUCUCUACAUGUUUAGUUGAAAUCCUUUUUUCUCUUAUUCCAUAUUCAUUAUUUAAUGGUGGUAUAAGGUCUGGGUGUUGAAACGUAUGUGGUGAGAUAAGGUAGGAUUGAUACGCAUGGCUAGUAGGGGAACUACUAGAAGCCAUGCAGUAUGAUAAGGUGGAUAAAACGCGGAGUGCUAUUUUGGGAAAAAUAAUUUUUCAAAACUAAAUGUAAAGGCUCUUGUUGAUUUUUCUCUAUUUGAUGUAUUUGUCUUGGUUGCCUGUUUCUUUAACAUGUAAAUCCUUAUUUCCCUCCGUGUUGUAUUAACUGUCUUGACUAUGCAUUGUUAGCUUUCUUUAAAUUCCUUAUUGUUUCAUUCCAUUGUCAUUAUCAUUAUAUCGUUAUAUAUUUCAUCUUGUUUCUUAUUAUCUCUAGUAGGGCUUUGACCUGACCUCGUCACUACUCUACUGAGGUUAGGCUUGGCACUUACUGGGUACCGUUGUGGUGUACUCAUCUGCCCUCGUCUGCAGGCCUCAGAGUCCCAUUCUAUCAUGUUCUUCCUUAUUUCAUUACACUAUUAUAGAUAGUGAUGUACAGGAUUGUUCAGAACUGUUACUUAGAGCUUGUAACUUAUAUUUCACCAUGUUUUGGGAGUUGUACGUAUUGAGUUACAGAUUUUAUUUAUGAAAUUGCUGAAGUUUUGAGAUUCUAAGUUGUAUUUCAAUUACUUCGCAUGUUGUUAGGCUUACCAAGUAUUAGAGAUUAGGUGUCGUCACGACAUCCUACGGAGGGACUUGGAGUGGUGACGAGUUGGUAUCAGAGCUCUAAGUUCAUAGGUAUUAUGAGUCACAAGCAGGUUUAGUAGAGUCUCGCGAAUCGAUACAGAGAUGUUUGUACUUAUCUUCGAAAGCAUAUGGAAGUUUGGAUGGAACUUGGCGUCGUGACACCGGGCCCCAAACCCGGACUACAUAUGAUUUAUCUGGACCAUAAAAAUAAUCUAAGGAACAUUGGCCACCGCCCUGCCAUGACCGUUACUCGUUUUUAGUAUUUUAGGCCUAAAUCGAAAAUUCAAACCGAUAUUCAUAUGUUUGUGUGCUCUAGCCCACGCCUUUCGUGUGGGCCCGGCCCCCCGACCCGAACCACAUAAAAUUUAUCUAGACCAUCGAAAACAACCUACGAAACACUGGUCACCGCCCCGCCAUGGCCGUUCUGCAUAUUUUGGCAUUUUAGGGCCGUAAAACGAGAAUUCGGCCCGAUUCCCAUAUUUUCGUGUGCUAUAGCCCAGGCCUUCCGCAUGAGCCUGGGCCCCCGAACUCGAACCGGAUAAAAUUUAUUCGGACCAUUAAAAAUUACCUAAGGAAUAUUGGUAACCCCCCCCCCCCCAAUGAUCGUUCCUUGUGUUUUGGCAUUUUAGGGCCGUAAAGCAAGAAUUUGGCCCAAUCCCUAUAUUUUUGUGUGCUAUAGCCCACGCCUUUUGCGUGGGCCCGGGCCCCUGGACCCGGACAACCCUAAAUUUAUCCGGACCAUCGAAAAUGGCCUAAGGAAUAUUGGUCACUGCUAUACCGUUCCUCAUUCUUUGCGGUUUUAGGGCCAUAAAACGAGAAUUAUGCUCGAUUCUCGUAUUUGUGUGCUAUACGAUCGAAAUGACCUAAGGAUCAUUGGUCACCGCCUCGCCAUGACCGUUCCUUAUUUUUGGCGUUUUAGGGUGAUAAAAGAAGAAUUCAGCCCGAUUCGUAUAUUUUAGUGUUAUAGCCCACGCCUUCACGUGUGACCGGACCCCGGAUCUAGACCGCCUAAUAUUUUUCUGGACCAUCCAAAACGACCUAAGGAACAUAUCGCCCCACCAUGACCGUUCCUCUUUUUUGGCAUUUUAGGGUUAUUCCCAUAUUUUUGUGCGGUAUAGCUCAUGCCUUUCGAGAGGUACUGGACCACCUAUAUUUUUUCUAGACCAUCAAAAAUGACCUAAGGAACAUUAGUCACCGCCCCGCCAUGAAUGUUCCUCAUUUUUAGCGUUUUAGAGCCAUAGAACGAGAAUUCGAUCUGAUUCUCUUAUUUCCGUGUGCUAUAGCCCACGCCUUAUGCGUGGGCCCGAACCCCCGAACCCAGACCACCUAAAUACUUUUCGUACCAUAAAAACCGACCUAAGGAACAUUGGUCACCUCCCCGUCAUGAUCGUUCCUCAUAUUUUGGCAUUUUAAGGUCAUAAAAUGAGAAUCUAGUCUCAUUCUCAUAUUUUUGUGUGCUAUAGGCCACACCUUCCUCGUAGGCUCGGGCCACUCAAUACGAACCACAUAAAUUUUAUCUGGGCCAUCAAAAAUUACCUAAGGAAUAAUGGUCACCGCCCCACCAUGAUCGUUCCGGAUGUUUUUGUGUUUUAGGGCCAUAAAACGAGAAUUUGACCUGAUUCCCAUAACUUAGUAUGUAAUAGCCCAUGCUUCCCGCGCGGUCCGUUGCCCACGAAUCCGGAUCGCCUAAAAUAUUUUCAGACCAUAAAAAAUGCCUACAGAGCAUUGGUCACCACCCUUCCAUGAUCGUUCCUUAUUUUUUGGCAUUUUAGGGUCAUAAAACGUGAAUUCGGCUCGAUUCCCAUAUUUUCGUGUGCUAUAGACCACGCCUUUUGUGUGGGCCCGGGCCCCCAGACCAGGACCGCCUAUAAUUUUUCCUCACCAUCGCAAAUGACCUAAGGAACAUUGGUCACCACCCCUCCAUGAUCGUUCCUACGUUUUUGGCGUUUCAGAGCCAUAAAACGAGAAUUCGGCAUGAUUCCCAUAUAUUCGCGUGGGCCAGGGCCACCAAACCCAUAUCGCCUAAAAAUAUUUCUGACCAUCACAAAUUACCUAAAGAACAUUUUUCAUCUCCCUGUCAUGACCGUUCCUAAAGUUUUGGCGUCUUAGGGCCAUAAAAUGAGAAUUCUGCCCGAUAUCCAUAUUUUCGUGUGUUAUAGCCCACGCCUUCCUCAUAGGCCCGGGCCCCUGGAGCCGGAUCUCCUAAUAUUUUAACAUGCCAUAAAAAUGACCUAAGGAAUAAUAGUCUCUACCACGCCAUGAUUGUUCCUCGUUAUUUUACGUUUUAGGGCCAAAACACUGGAAUUCUUCUCGAUUCUUAGAAUUUUGUGUGUUAUAGCCCAAGCCUUCCGCAUGGUCCUAGGGGCCCGGGCUACUGGAACAGGACCGCCUAAAAAUUUUCCGAUCAUAAAAAACAACCUGAGGAACAAUAAUCGCCGCCCCGCCGUGACCGUUCCUUAUUGUUUUGCAUUUUAGGGACAUAGAUCUGGAAUUCCGCUCGAUUCCCAGAUUUUUGUGUGCUAUAGCCCACGCCUCCCGCAUGGGCUCGGGCCCCUAGACCAGAAUCUCCUAAAAGUUUUCCAUACCAUCAAAAAUAACCUAAGGAACAAUAGUCAUCGCCGCGCUAUGACCGUUUCUCCUUUUUUACAUUUUAGGGCCAUAAAUUUUGAAUUUCGCUUGAUUCCUAGCUUUUCGUGUGCUAGCCCAUUCCUUCCGCAUGGGCCCAGGCCCCCGGACCAAGAUCACCUAAAAUUUUCCUGGAACAUCAAAAGCGACCUGAUGAACAAUAGUUACCACCCCGCCAUGACCGUUCCUCAUUUUUGAUAUUUUAGGAACAUAAAACUGGAAUUUUUUUCGAUUCCCAAAUCUUCGUGUGCUAUAACCCACUCCUUCCAUAUUGGCCCGGGCCCCCAGACCUGGGUUGCCUAAAACUUUUCUGGGCCAUCAAAAAUAACUUAAGGAACAAUAGUCAUUGCCCGGCCAUGAUCGUUCCUCAUGUUUUGGCAUUUUAGGACCAUAAAACUAGAAUUUCGCCUAAUUCCCGGAUUUUCGUAUGUUAUAGCCCACUCUUUCUGCAUGGGCUUAGUCCCCCGACCUAGAUCGCCUAAAUUUUUUCUUGGGCCAAUUAAAAUGACCUAAGGAACAAUAGUCACCUCCCCUCCAUGACUGUUCCUCAUUUUUUUGCGUUUGAAGGCCAUAAAACGAGAAUUCUUCCCGAUUCCCAGAUAUUCGUGUGCUAUAGCCCACGCCUUCCGUGUAGGCCCGGGCCAAUGGACCCGAACCGUAUAAAAUGUAUCCGGACCAUGAAAAUCGACUUAUGUAAUAUUGGUCACUGCCCCUCGAUGACCGUUCCUUGUGUUUGGCGUUUUGGGGCCAUAAAAUGAGAAUUCGACCCAAUUGCCAUAUUUACGUGUGCUAUAGCGCACGCCUUCCGCGUGGUCCCUGGCUCAUGGACCCGGAUCUCCUAAAAUUUUUUCAGACCAUCAAAAAUGACCUAAGAAAUAUUGGUCAUCGCCUUGCCAGGAUCGUUCCUUAUUUUUUGGCAAUAUAGGGCCGUAAAAUGAGAAUUCGGCCCGAUUCUCAUAUUUUACCUGUGCUAUAGCCCACGCCUUCCACGUGGGCCCGAGCCCCCAGACCAGGACCGCCUAAAAAAACUUCAAACUAUCAAAAAUGUCCUUAGAAACAAGAGACACCUCCCCCUGUGACCGUUUCUCGUUUAUUGACAAUUUAGGGUCAUAUAUUUGGAAUUUCGCCCGAUUCUUAGAUUUUCGUGUGCUAUAGCCCACUCCUUCCGCAUGGACUCGGGCACCCAGACCUGGAUCACCUAAAAUUUUUCCUGCCCAUCAAAAGUGACCUAAGGAACAAUUAACACCACCACGCCAUGACCAUUCCUCGUUUUUUAGCGUUUUAGAGCUACAAAACAAGAAUUCAGCCUGAAUCCCAUAUUUUCGUGUUCUAUAGCCUACGCCUUCCGCGUGGGCCCAAGCCGUCGAACCCGGACCAUAUAAUAUUUUUCUAUCCAUCAAAAAUAACCUAAGGAACAAUAAUAAAAGCCCUGCCACAAUCGUUCCUAGUUGUUUGGCAUUUUAGGGCCAUAAAACUAGAAUUUCGCCUGAUUCCCAGAUUUUCGUGUACUAUAGCCUGCGCCUUCUGCAUGGGUCCGGGCCCCUAGAACAGGAUCGCCUAAAAAUUUUCCAAACCAUCAAAAACAACCUAAGGAAUAAUAGUCAUCGACCCGCUAUAACCGUUCCUAGUUGUUUGGCAUUUUAGGGCUAUAAAUUUGGAAUUUCACCUGAUUCGUAGAUUUUCGUGUGCUAUAGCUCACUCCUUCCGCAUGGGCCCGGGCCCCCGGACCAGGAUCGCCUAACAUUUCCCUAGACCAUCAAAAGCGACUUAAGGAACAAUAGUCACUACUGCACCAUGACCGUUUCUCGUUUUUUGGCCUUUUAGGGCCAUAAAACUGGAUUAACGCCUAAUUCCUAGAUUUUCAUGUGUUAUGCUUAUGACUUCCGCAUGGGCUCGAGCCCCCAGACCUGGAUCAUCUAAAAAAUUUCGGACAAUAAAAAAGUCCUAAGGAAUAAUAGUAACUUCCUCGCAAUGACCGUUCCUCGUGUUUUGGCAGUUUAGGGCCAUACAACUGGAAUUUUGCCCGAUUCUCAAAUUUUUGUGUACUAUAGCCCACUCCUUCCGCAUGGUCCCGGUCACCCAAACCUGUAUAGCCUAAAAUUUUCCUAGGUCAUCAAAAAUGACUUAAGGAGCAAUAGCCAUUGCACUGCUAUGAUGAUUUCUCGUUUUUUGGUAUUUUAGGGCCAUAAAGCUAAAAUUUUGCCUCAUUCCUAGAUUUACGUGUGCUAUAACCCACUCCUUCUGCAUGGGACCAAUCCCCCUUGACUCAGAACGCCUAAAAUUUUCCAAUGCCAACAAAAAUGACUUAAGGAACAAUAGUCACCUUCCCUCCAUGACUGUUCCUCAUUUAUUGGCGUUUUAAAGCCUUAAAAUGAGAAUACGGCCUGUUUCCCAUAUUUCGAUGUGCUAUAGCUCACACCUUCUGUGUGGACUCUGAACAAUGGACCCGGACUGCAUAAAAUUUAUCUAGACCAUGAAAAUCAACCUAUGAAAUAUUGGUCACAGUCCUGCCAUAAUAGUUCCUCCUUCUUUUGAAUUUUUGGGGCCAUAAAUUGAGAAUUCGACCUAAUUCCCAUAUUUUCGUGUGUUAUAGCCCACGCCUUCCGCGUGGGCCCUGACCCUGGAUUCGGACCACCUAAACAAUUUUCGGACCAUCAAAAAAGAUCUAAGGAAUAUUGAUCACCUCCCAUCCAUGAUCAUUCCUCGUGUUUUUGCGUAUUAGGGCCAUUAAACGAGAAUUCGGUCUCAUUCUCAUAUUUUCGUGUGCUAUAGCCCACGCCUUUUGGCGUGUGCACGGGCCCCCGGACUAUGACCGCCUAAAAGUUUUUUGUACCAUCAAAAACUAUCUUAGGAACAAUAGUCACUGCCCCACUGUGACCGUUCCUUAUUUUUGGCAUUUUAGGGCCAUAAAUUUUGAAUUUCGCCUGAUUCCAAGAUUUUCAUGUGCUAUCCACUCCUUCCGCAUGGACUCGGGCCCCCGAAUAAGGAUUGCCUAAAAUAUUCCCGGACCAUCAAAAGUGACAUAAGGAACAAUUGUCACCGUUGUGCCAUGAGCGUUCCUCGUUUUUUGGCGUUUUAAGGCCAUAAAAUUGGAAUUUUGCGUGAUUCCUAGAUUUUCGUGUGCAAUAGCUUAUGCCUUCCGCAUGGGCCCGGGAUCCCAAACCCGGAUCACCUAAAAUUUCUCUGGACCAUGAAAAUUACCUAAUGAAUAAUAGUCACUACCUCGCUAUGAUCGUUCCUCGAAUUUUAGCAUUUUAGAGCCAUAAAACUAUCAUUCCACCUAAUUUUCAGAUUUUCGUCUGAUAUAGCUUGUGCCUCUGCAUGGGCCCGGCCCCUAGAUCCGGAUCGCCUAACAAGAUUUCGGACCAUAAAAAUGACCUAAGAAAUAUUAGUCAUCGUCCUGCCAUGACCGUUCCUCAUAUUUUGGCAAUUUUGUGCCAUAAAAUUUGAAUUUCGCCUGAUUCCCAGAUAUACGUGUGAUAUAGCCCACUCCUUUCGUAUAGCCUUGGGCCCCCGGAUCCGGAUCGCCUAAACAUUUUUCCGAGCCAUCAAAAAUGACUAUCGGAACAAUAGUCACUACCUCACCAUGAAUGUUUAGAACCAUAAAACUUAAAUUUCACCCGAUUUCCAGAAUUUCAUGUGUUAUAGCCCACACCUUCUGUAUGGGCCCGGGCCCCCAGACCAGGAUUGGAUAAAAAAAAUUCGGACCAUCAAAAACAACCUAAGAAACUAUAAUCACCACCCCGCCAUGAUCGUUCCUCAUAUUUUGGCAUUGUUUGGCAAUAAAAUUGGAAUUUUGCCCGAUUCCAAGAUUUUUGUGUGAUAUAGCCCACUCCUUCCGCAUGGGCCCGGGUCACCGACCCGAAUCGCCUAAAAUUUUCUAGGGCCAACAAAAACAAACUAAGGAAUAAUAGUCACCUCCCCCCACGACCGUUCCUAGUUUGUUUUGUCUUUUAGGUUCAUAAAAUCAAAAUUCUGCCCGAUUUCCAGAUUUUUGUGGGUUAUAGCCCAGGCCUUCCGCAUUGGCCUGGGCACCUGAACCGGAUCGCCAACAAUUUUCCCGAGCCAUCAAAACCGACCUAAGGAACAAUAGUCACCGCCCUGCCAUGACCGUUCCUCAUUUUUGGCCUUUUAGAGCCAUAAAUUAGAAUUCCAUUCAAUUCCCAGAUUUUCGUAUGCUAUAGCCCACUCCUCCCACAUGGGCUCAAGCCUCCGGACCCGAAACGCCUAAAAUAUUUCGUGCAUUCAAAAAAAAAACUUAAGGAACAAUUGUCACCACCAUGCCAUGACUGUUCCUCGUUUUUAGUAUUUUAGUGUCAUAAAACUGUAAUUUUGCCCGAUUCUCAAAAUUUUGUGUGUUAUAACCCACUCCUUCCAGAUAAACCUGGACCCGCCGACCCUUAUCACCUAAAAUUUUCCAAGCCAACAAAAACAACCUAAGGAAUAAUAUUCACCUUCCCCCAUGACUGUUCCUAUUUUUUUGGCAUUUUAGUGCCCUAAAAUUGGAAUUCCGUGUGAUUCACAAAUUUUUGUGUGCUAUAGCACAUGCCUUUCGCAUGGGCCCGAGCCCCCAGACCUGGAUCGCCUAAAAUUUUUUCGGACCAUCAAAUACGAUCUAAGAAAUAAUAGUCACCGACCCUCCAUGACCGUUCCUCAUUUUUUGACGUUUUAGUUCCAUAAAAAUGGAAUUCCGUUCAUUUCUCAUUUUUUUCGUGUGCUAUAGCCCACCUCUCCCGCAUGGCCCCAGGCCCCCGUACCCGGAUCAUCUACUAUUUUACCGUGCCAUAAGAAAUCACCUAUGGGACUGUCACGACCCAAACUGAUGGGCCGCGACGGGCACCCGGUGCCUUACUCAACCGAGUACCAACAUUACAUAUCCUUCUUAUCGUACUAUCAUUGGCAAAUGGGCCAAACGGGCUAUCAUGGGCUAGCCAGAAUAAACAUAAGGGAAUACUCAAUAUAAGACGACCCAAUAUGAUAUAAAAACUUAUACAUUUGACAUACGGGCCUAUAAGGCCACAAUGAGCACUCGUACACUGAAAAUAGGCCGACAAGGCCAUACAACCUUUCAUAUACAUGACAUCUGUCUAUAAGCCUCUAAGAAUACAUAAUUUUCAUAAAGGUCGGGACAAAGCCCCGCCAUACCAAUCAAUACAUAUCUUAAUCAUACUGGCCAAAUAGCAACUCCGGAGCAAUUGGAGCGCACCAACACCUUCCGCUGAGCUGAUAGCCUACCUGGAGGACUCUCGACCUAGCUAUCGGGACCUGCGGGCAUGAAACGCAGCGUCCCCAGCAAAAGGGAUGACAGUACAAAUAAUGUACCGAGUAUGUAAGAAAUAAAAAUCAGUAAACAAUAGAUAUGAGAGAAACAUGGAGUAAAAGACAUGUAAAUCUGAAUAACUCUAUGAAUCAUUAAUAUUUACAAUGCCAUGCAUAUGCGUAUAAAUGUCAUACCAUUCAUAGGUAUAUGCGUACAAAAUAUCAUCAAGCCUCUGAGGGCAUCCCAUCAUAUCAUCUCGGCCACUGUGGGCAAAUCAUCAACGUAUACCAGCUGAUCAGGUGGUGAUGCGUAUAUAACACCGUAACCUUUUUCCAUAUCCCAUAUACAUAUAAUAUACGCGUAUAUAACGCCAUCUGGUCAUGGGUCAAUGUAUAUGUAUAAAUACAUAAAAUGCAUAAGAAGUGUGUUAAUAAGAUUUCUCAAAAUGUCAUAAAAUCAAUAUGCCUUUCAGAUAAACUUUAUCAAAUACGUAUUUUUCUGAGACCCACGAACAGAAGAUAUAAUAAUAAUUCACAUGGGAAAUCAAUAACAUAGGCACCCCUAGUACUUCUAUGAAUAGAGUCAUUUAUGACAGUUGUGUGUUUGCCCAUUUCGUUUGUAUCAUAUGAAUCAUGCCAAAAAGAAAGAAGGGAUAGCCUUAACAUACCUGAGUCGAUUCUCUUGACAAUCCCUCUAACACACGUUAAUUGCGACAAAAUACGUGACGGCAAGAUCGGAGUAGGAAAAAAUCGUAUGAUAUUCUUGAGAAAGAUUAUACCGUGCUCUCUUAGAAUUACAAAUCCCGUUGCUAUUACGCAAUAUAACUUCGUAUGAAUUCCUUAAUGAAGUAAAGAGAAAGAGAUCUUUAAAAGUGGUGAGCUUCAUCCAUUCUUAGCAAGCUUAGUAUCUUAAUGAGAUAAGGAACCUCUAAAUUUGUUGGUUUUUUGUGGGCCCCACAUUAGGAAAUGAUUUGGCCACCAAAUUCUUUAGAUGUGCCACAUAUUUUUAAUAACUAAUGAGUCAUUGCUUGGGCUGCCACAUUAGGCACCUUAAGCUUAUCCAAAAUUAUCAUCAAUUAACCGCUAAUCUCUUGAUUAACUUGAUAAUCUCCCACUAACCAAUAAUUAACCAAUUACUCAUAUAAUUAAGAAUUAUCUCAACUUACUUAUAAUACUACUCAUUUUUAACACACUUUAUAUAUCUUAUUAUCAUGGUCAUGUGGUACCUUGUAUGACACUAGUCCAUAUAUACAGGGUAUUGUAGCUUGGACCGUAUUUUAUCUCAAAAUAUCAAACUUCGACGAAAUUCAUUUUCCUCGAUUCGCUUACCCUUUCACCUUCACGAAUUUACUUAUCACUUAUUUGAAAUAGCAUAAUACUUAUAACUUCAAAAUAAUCUCAUUCCCGAGCUUACGUCGAUUAACUUACGACGAAACAUUAACGUACGAAAAUGCGGGAUGUAACAUCUCAUUUUCAAGCUUUCAUCAAUUUACUUAUGGCAUACUUUCACGUACGAAAUUAUGGGGUGUAACAGGAACAAUAGUUACCUCCACACCAUGACUGUUUCUUGAUUUUUUACGAUUUAGGGAUAUAAAGUUGGAAUUCCGCUCGAUUCCUAGAUUUUCGUGUGUUGUACGUCUUUCGCACAAGCCCGAGGGCACUGACUCCUGGAUCCGGAUUGCCUAAAUAUAUUUUGGCCAUCAAAAAUAACCUAGGGAAUAAUAGUCACUGCCCUGCCACGAUCGUUCCUCAUUUUUGGCGUUUUAGGGCCAUAAGACUAGAUUCCGCCUGAUUCCCAGAUUUUCGUGUGCUAUAGCCCAUGCCUUUCGCAUGGGCCCGAGCCUCCGACCUGGAUCGCCUAAAAAUAUUCUAACCAUCAAAAACAAUCUAAGGAACAAUAGUCACUGCCCCGCCAUGACCGUUCCUCGUUUAUUGGCAUUUUAGAGCCAUAAAACUGGAAUUCUACGCAAUUCUCAUAUUUUUGUAUGUUAUACCCCAUGCCUUCUGCAUGGGCCCGGGCCCCCAGAUUAAGAUUGUCUAAAAUUUUUCCGGGCCAUAAAAACGAGCUCAGUAGCAAUAUUCACCGCGCCGCCAUGACUGUUCCUCGGUUUUUGGCGUUUUAGGGCUAUAAAACUGGAAUUCCGCCCGAUUCCAAGAUUUUCGCGUGCUAUAGCACACGACUUCCGCAUAGGCCCCGGCCCCCAGACCAGUAUCGCCUAAAAUAUUCUCUGGCCAUUAAAAAUGACCUAAGAAAAUAUAGUCACUGUCCCGCCAUGACCGUUCUUCAUUUUUUGGCGUUUUAGGGCCAUAAAUUAUGAAUUUCGCCUAAUUACUAGAUUUUCAUGUGCUAUAACCCACUCCUUCCGCAUACGCCCGGGCUCCCAGACCAGGAUCGCUUGAAAUUCGUACCAUCAAAAAUAACCUAAGGAACAAUAGUUACCGCCGCUCCAUGACCGUUGCUUAUUUUUUGGCGUUUUAAGGCUAUAAAACUAAAAUUCCGAACCCGGAUCGCCAGAAACAAUUCUCAAUUUUUUGUGUGUUAUAGCUCACUCCUUCGCCCGAGCCUCCGAACCCGGAUUGCCUAUGAAAUUUUUGUUCUAUAAAAAAUAACCUAAGGAUUAAUAGUCACCACCCUACCAUGAUCGUUCCUCGUUUUUGGAAAUUUAGAGCCAUAAAACUGUAAUUUUGUCCAAUUCUGAAAUUUUCGUGUGUUAUAGCUCACUCCUUCCGUAUAAACCCGGACCCCCUCGCCUGGAUCACCUAAAAGUUUCCAGGGCCUUCAAAAAUGACCUAAGGAGUAAUAUUCACCUCUCCUCCAUGACCGUUCCUUAUUUUUGAACGUUUUAGGGUCAUAAAACUAGAAUUUCGUUUGAUUUCCCGGACAAUAAAAAACGAUCUAAAGAACAAUAGUCACUACCCUGCCAUGACCGUUCCUCGUAUUUUUGGCAUUUUAGGUCCAUAAAAAUGGAAUUCCGCCUGAUUCUUAAAUUUUUGUGUGCUAUAUAGCCCACCCCUCUCGCAUGGCCCCGGUCCCCCGGACCCGGAUCGUCUAAUAUUUUUUCGUGCCAUCAAAAACGACCUAAGUAACAAUAGUUACCACCCCACCAUGAUCGUUCAUCAUUUUUUGGCGUUUUAGGUCUAUAAAAAUGAAAUUCCGCCUGAUUCUCAUAUUUUUCGUGUGCUAUAGCCCAUGCCUCCUGCAUGGGCUCGGGCCCUCGGAUCCAGAUCAUCUAAUAUUUUCCCGUGCUUUCACAAACGACCUAAGAAAUAAUAGUUAUCGCCCCACCAUGACUGUUCCUCGGUUUUCUACGAUUUAGGGCCAUAAAACUGGAAAUUCGCUCGAUUCCCAAAUUUUCGUGUGUUAUAUCUUACACCUUCCGCAAGGCCCGGGGACACUAGCUCCCGGAUCCGGAUCGCCUUAAUAUAUUUUUUUCAUCAAAAACGACCUAAGGAAUAAUAGUCACCGCCCUGCCACGAUCGUUCCUCAUGUUUUGACAUUUUAGGGCUAUAAAACUAGAUUUUUCGUAUGAUUCCCAAAUUUUUAUGUGCUACAGCCCAUGCAUUUCGCAUGGGCCCGAGCCCCCGGACCUGCAUCGCCUAAAAAUUUUCCGGUCCAUCAAAACCUAUCUAAGAAAUAAUAGUCACUGCCCCGUCAUGACCAUUCCUCGUUUAUUGGUGUUUUAGGACCAUUAAAACUGAAAUUCUACUCGAUUAUAACAUGUUCGUAUACCAUAGCCCACGCCUUUCGCAUGGGCACGGGCCCUCGAAAUCGGAUUGUCUAAAAAUUUUCUAGGCCAUAUAAAUGACCUAAGGAAUAAUAGUCCCCGCCCUGCCAUGACUGUUCCUCGUUUUUUGGCGUUUUAGGGCGAGAAAACUGGAAUUCUGCCCGAUUCAUAGAUUUUCGUGUGCACACGCCUUCUACAUGGGCUCGGGCCUCCGAAUCUAUAUCGCCUAAUUUUUUUUUUGGGCCAUCAAAAAUGAUCUAAGGAACAAUAGCCACCGCCCUGCCCUGACCAUUCCUUGUUUUUGGACAUUUUAGUGCCAUAAAACUGGAAUUCCGCUCAAUUUUUAGAUUUUCAUGUGUUGUAGCCCACGCCUUCCGCAUAGGCACGGGCUCCCGGACCAAGAUCACCUAGAAUUUUUCUGGACUAUCAAAAAUGACCUAAGGAACAAUAGUCACCGCCCCUCCAUGAUCGUUUCUCAUUUUUAGCGUUUUAGGGCCUUAAAACUGGAAUUUCGCCUGAUUUUCUAAAUUUUCGUGUGCUAUAGCCAAGGCCUUUCGCAUGGGACUGGGCCUCCGGACCCGGAUAGCCUAUAAUUUUCACGGAUCAUCAAAAGCGACCUAAGGAAUAAUAGUCACCAUCCCGCCAUGACUAUUCCUUGUUUUUAGAUAUUUUAGGACCAUAAAACUGGAAUUUUGCUUGAUUUCUAAAUUUUCGUGUGCUAUAGCACACACCUUUUGCAUGGGCCAGGACCCCCAGAUACAGAUUGCUCAAAAACUUUCGGGUCAUAAAAAUGACCUAAGGAACAAUAGUCACUGCCCUACUAUGAUCGUUCCUCAUUUUUGGCAUUUUAAGGCCAUAAAACUGAAAUUCAACCCGAUUUUCAGAUUUUCGUGUGCUAGAGCCCAUGCCUUCCGCAUGGGCUUAAGCUCCCAGACCCAGAUGAUCACCAAACAAAUUUCGGUCCAUCAAAGACAACCUAAGGAACAAUAGUCACCGCCCCCACAUGACCAUUUCUCGUUUUAUUUUGGGCAUUUUAGGGCCAUAAAACUGGAAUUUUGUCUGAUUCCCAAAUUUUCGUAUGCUAUGGCCCACACCUCAGCAUGGACCCGGGCCUCCGGAUGAGGAUCGCCUAAAAAGUUUUCGGGCUAUCAAAAACGACCUAAGGAACAAUAGUCACUGCCCUGCCAUGGCCGUUCCUCGUUUUUUGGCGUUUUAGGGUUAUAAAACUUGAAUUCCGCCCGAUUCUCAAAUUUUCGUGUGCUAUGGCCCACGCUUUCUGCAUGGGCACGUGCUCCCGGACCUGGAUCGCCUAAAAUUUUUCCGGACCAUCAAAAAUGACCUAUGGAAGAAUAGUCACCACCCCGCCAUGACUAUUCCUCGUUUUUUGGCGUUUUAGGGCCAUAAAACUGGAAUUUCGCUCGAUUUCUAGAUUUUCGUGUGCUAUACGCCUUCCGCAUGGACCCAGGCCCCCGUAUCUGGAUCGCCUAAAAAUUUCUCGUACCAUCAAAAACGACCUUAGGAACAAUAGUUACCGCCCCGCCAUGACUGCUCCUCGUUUUUUGGUAUUUUAGGACCAUAAAAUUGGGAUUCCGCCCGAUUUUCAGAUUUUCGUGUGCUAUAUAUAGCCCACGCCUUCCGCAUGGAUCCGGUCCCACAAACCGGGUCGCCUAUAAUUUUUCCGGGCCAUCAAAUACGACUAUGGAUCUCUCUUUCAAUAGAUUUUGUGGGAAACUACCAGCAGUCUUGUUGAAAAUUUUCAAGUCAUGAAAAUAAUUGAUGAGAACAUGAGAACCCUAAGGUACGUUGGAGAUCAAUAUAUUGGUAAUUUUAAUUAUGAUGUAUUUCUGUCAAUUAAGACAAAGGGAUCGGAUCUUGAAUAUCAUCAAGUUUUGAUUGAAAACAAGAUUAUCAAUCUCAGAGAAUAGAUUUAAAGGUUAUAUUCCAAGUACUAUUGGAGAUCUCACUGCACUUCAUGCGUUGAAAUUAUCUCAUAAUAACUUAGAAGGUCUUAUACCAGCCACUUCGUGCGUUGAAAUUACCUCAUACUAGCUUAGAAGGUCUUAUACCAGCGCCAGUGCAACAUUUAUCAGUACUUGAAUUAUUGGAUCUCUCAUGUAACGAAAAUUGCCGAGUUCUGCAACAACUUGCAUCCGUCACAUCGCUUGAAGUCAGAAGACAAGCAAAUCCAAGAAAAUGUUGUAACUGCUAUUCUUAACCUUUCUAUAUAUGACGACAACAAAGGGAUUAUAAUGCUUAAUUGCUGUCACAACGAAACCAAACAAAUUAUUAUAAUGCAACCUCCGAGAAGGAUAGAAGCCAAGAAACAAUAUAGUCUUUUGUAGUGAAUUUAGGUAAUGUUAGUACAAUGAUUAUUUGGUUUACGUAUUUCAGACAUGAUUAUUUGGUUUACGUAUGUCAGACUCCAAUUUAGAAACAACUAGAACCUACAAUAUCUCAGACUUAUGAGAUACCAGAAAAUGUAUGAUGGAGUCGUGUUAUAUCGUAUGUAUUUCAAGCUAUUUACUAGACCGUAUCUGGAAAGGCUUCCAUUAAGUAUCUUCACCUUCUUCCUAAAAAGUGAUCUCUGGAGCAUAGACUCAUAAACUAGUGCAACAAUACCAUGCAUCUGCAAAUUUAUUCCAGAAAUAUACCAUGGAUUUGCAAGUGUUAUAUUAAUAUAUAAUAGCAGUAUGUAAGGAUCGGAAACCCGGGUAGUACGGAAUUUAGUCAAACAAUGUUAUAAUGACAAUAACAAAGACAAUGCAAGUUGAUAAUAAUGGUAAUUAAAGCAUAUAAAGAAGGCAUCAAUUUAACGUGGUUCGGUCAUUGUGACCUACGUCCACAAGCGGAAAGAAAUAAUUUCACUAUAGCAACAAGAGUACAAAAGAGAGCAUAAAAUUAGAGUAAAUACUCUAAUUAAUUCCAAAUAUCCCAAGAUAAUAACCACACAAGAUCACUCCAAAGAAAAGGUUCACGCAAGUAUUUUUCAGCACUCAACUCUCUUAUAAAACCUCUAUAAUGAAAGAAAGAAAAGGCAAGAGACGUUUGUCUCAAACUUAGGUGUAUUUGAUAUGGACAUUUGCUAGCCUAUUUAUAAGAAAAUAGAUGGUCAUUGUAUGGAAUAUGAUUGGCCAGCAAGGCCUUUAAUGAAUGGACAUAAAAUGUCCAACAAGUGACCAAUGAAAGACCAUAGAAAAGCCAACAAGGCUUAUAGUCUAUGGCCAAAAGUAGGCCACGUAUAUCACAAAUCUCCACCUUGGACUAGUUUUGGCUGAUAUAAUAAAAUUGCUCUUCGUUCUCCGCAAAAGCCCCAGUGGGCGAAAUCAUUCUUCAUAAAUGCCAAUCAAGUUCACACAAAGUUUGAACUUGAAAACUGGAAGAGGCUUCGUAAACAUGUCAGCAGGAUUGUCUCUAGUGUUGAUCUUCUGAACAAAGACUUUUCCUUCAGUAAUGGUUUCUCGGAUGAAGUGAUAUUUGAUAUCAAUGUGUUGCGUCCUCUCAUGAUACAUCUGAUUUUUAGUCAAGUGAAUUGGACAUUGACUAUCACAGAAAAUGGUAAUACCACCUUGGUGUGAACUGAGUUCAGCAAAUAGACCCUUCAACCAUAAGGCUUCUUUGAUCGCCUCGGUCACUGCCAUAUAUUCUGCUUCGGUAGUAGAUAAAGCUACUACAUGUUGUAAUGUAGUUUUUCAACUAAUAGCGCAACCACCAAUGCAAACUACAUAGCAUGUCAGUGAUCUUCUUUUGUCAAGAUCACCUGCAUAAUCUGAGUCUACAAAACCAACCAAAGUAUUAGUAUUUCUUCCAAACUCCAAACAUGUGUUUGAAGUACCUUGCAAGUAUCUGAGAAUCUAUUUCAUAGCCUGUCAAUGUGCUAUACCAGGGCAAGCCAUAUAUCGUCUUACCACGCUCACUACUUCUGAAAUGUCUAGACGUGUACAAACCAUUGCAUACAUAAUACUGCCGACUGCACUGGAAUAAGGUACAUGUGACAUAUACCUCUCUUCUUCCUCUGACUGCGGGGACUGAGCAGCUGAUAACUUAAAAUAAGUAGCAAGAGGGGUACUCACUGGUUUAGCAUCUUUCAUGCCAAACCUCCCCAAGACUUUUUCCAAGUACUUCUUCUGGGUCAGGAAUAGCUUGUUGGCUCCUCGAUCUCUUUUGAUCUCCAUGCCAAGGAUUUUCUUAGCUGCUCCCAAAUCUUUCAUCUCAAAUUUACUUUUCAACUGACUUUUCAAAUUGUGAAUUUCUAUUAAAUCCUUAGCAAAAAUGAUCAUGUCAUCAACAUAUAAUAAUAGGUACACAAAUGAACCAUCAUUUAACUUUCGGAAGUAAACACAACUAUCAUACAUGCUCCUUGAAUAACCAUGACCCAAAAUAAAGGAAUCAAACCUUUUAUACCAUUGUCUUGGAGACUGCUUUAAUCCGUAAAAGAAUUUCUUCAACAAGAAAACAUGAUCUUCUUUUCCUUGAAUUUUAAAUCCUUCGGGUUGAUGCAUGUAUAUUUGUUUCUCAAGUUCGCCAUUUAAGAAAGCUGUCUUAACGUCAAGUUGUUCUAAUUCCAAAUCAUACAUGGCAACGAUGGCAAACAAGAUACUAAUAGAGCUAUGUUUAACAACAGGUGAGAAAAAAUUAUUAAAAUCAACUCCUUGUACCUGACUAUAACUCUUUGCAACUAAUCGUGCCUUAUACUUUGCAUCUUAAACCCCUGGAAUUCCAUUUUUUUCUUGAAUACCCAUUUGCAACCAACAAUUCUUUUUUCCUGAAGGCGGCUUCACAAGAGACCAAGUACCAUUCAUGUGGAGAGACUCAAUUUCUUCAUUCAUUGCAAUCAGCCACUUGGCUGAGUCGGCACCAGAAACUGCUUCUGAAUAUUUUGAUGGUUCUCCAAUUUCUUCAGUUUCCUCUGCAACUGAAAAAGCAAAUGCAACAUAAUCUCUAAACCCUAAUGGUUGUUUACCUUCUCUUCUUGGUCUAUAUUUGGCUAUAGAAUACUCCUCUUCUUCUGGUUCAACUUCAGGAAUUUCAGCUUCUGGCUCAACUUUAGGAAUUUCAGCUUCUGGCUCAACUUCAGGAGUUUCAACUGUAUUUAGCUCCACAGUUGAUGAGCUUGGCUCAGAAGAAAUGCUAAUCUCAACCUUCACCUCUUUUUGUGUACUCUUUCCUUUAUCUAUAUUACAAGAACUAGAAGACUUUUUUCUAGGAUGUAAUAUAGAGGAUUCAUUAAAGGUUACAUCUCUGCUAAUUAUAAAUUUUGGUGUCGUGGAUCAGGAUACCAUAAUCGGUAUCCUUUCACCCCAGAUGCAUACCCAAAGAAAAUAUACUUUUUAGCCCUUGGCUCUAAUUUUUCAUCAUUUACAUGCAUGUAUGGAGGGCAACCAAAUAUCUUUAAAUUAGAAUAAUUAGCAGGAAUACCUGACCACAUUUCCUCUGGAGUCUUAAAGCUCAAAGGUGCAGAAGGAGCUCGGUUGACAAUAUAACAGGCUGUAGAGAUAGCUUCUGCCCAAAAGGCAUUUGUCAACCCAGCAUUUGAAAUCAUGCAACGAGCCCUUUCCAAAAGAUUUCUAUUCAUCCUUUCUGCCACACCAUUUUGCUGAGGUGUUAUUCUCACAGUACGAUGUCGAGCAAUUCCUUCAUUCUUGCAAAAUUCGUUGAAUUCAUCAUUACAAAAUUUCAAUCCAUUAUUUGUUCUAAGCCGCUUAACCUGUUUUCCUAUUUGCUUCUCAAUCAAAACUUUCCAUGUUUUGAAAUUUAAGAAAACAUUACUUUUAUUUUUUAGAAAAUAAAUCCAAACUUUCCUUGAAUAAUCAUCAAUGAAAGUUAACAUAUACCUGGCACCAUCUUUUGAUGGGGUACAUGAAGGACCCCAAAGAUCUGAAUGAAUGUAAUCCAAAGUACCUUUUGUUCUAUGAAUCGCUGGAGAUUUGAAGCUGACUCUUUACUGCUUCCCGAACACACAAUGUUCACAGAACUCUAUAUUUCUGGUACUUUGAUCAUAUAAGAGACCUCUUUUGCUGAGGAUGGAAAGAUUUUUUUUCUCCCAUAUGCCUCAAUUGCAUAUGCCACAAUUUGGUGAUGUCAGAAUCUGAUUUAUCUGAUAUUGAAUCUACAGCAGCACCUGUAACAGUAGAUACCAAAAGAGUAUACAAUGUACCAGAUUUGCGUGAUUUCAUGAUCACAAGAGCACCAUGAGAAAUUUUCAGAACUUCACCUUCACCUGUGUACUUACACCCAAGAGAUUCUAGAGUGCCCAAAGAGAUAAGAUUUUUCUUCAAGUCAAGAACAUGUCUAACAUCGGUGAGAGUUCUCACCACACCAUCAUGCAUUUUGAUUCGGACUGUACCUUUUUCAAUAACUUUACAGGCAAUAUUGUUGUUGCCCAUCAAGACAACUCCACCUCCAAUAGAUUCAUAUGUGGUAAAUAUAUCCCGAUUGGGACACAUAUGAUAAGAACAACUCGAAUUUAAAAUUCACUCAUUGUUAGAUUUGAAACUAUUAUUAGUUGCUAAAAAAAUAGUUCCCUUAGUCUAAUCAGCAGCUACACUUGCUUUGGCAGUGUCAGUAUUUUUGUGCUCAUUUUUCUUGUUUGUAUGCUUUUCUUUGUUUUUCAAUUUAAAGCAUUCAAAAAUAAUGUGACCUUUCUUAUGACAAUAUUUGCACAUGACAUUUCUGUAUCUAGAUUUUGACCUUGAUUUAUGUUUUUCACUACUUGAAUCUUUUUUAUUGGAUCUACCUCUUAUGAAUAAGCAUUUCCCUUGGUUCCUACUAGUUUUCCCAGUAAUAUCUCUAUCUAUUUGUUCUUUUGAUUUCAAAAUAGAUUUGAUAUUUUUAUAAGAGAUAUUACCCUUUCUAUAAAUCAUAAUAUCUCUUAUAUGUUUAAACGACUGGGUAGGAAACAAGCAAUAACACAGCUUGAUCCUCAUCUUUGAUUUCAGCAUCUAUGUUACUUAAAUCCAUAAGAAGAGAAUCAAAAGUAUCAAGAUCUGUAAGUAUAGAGGUACCUUCAGCCAUACGAAAAGUGAAGAGUUUUUGCUUUAGGUAAAGCCUGUUUUCUACUGUUCUUUUCAUAUAUAUGGUUUUAAGCUUUUCCCGUAUGCCUUUGGCUGAGAUUUCUAUUGCAACUUCACGCAAAACCUCAUUUGAAAGAUUUAAAAUAAUACCUGUUUUUGUCUUUUUGUCUAUGACGGCAAACUCCUCGUCCGUCAUUUUAUCCGGCAUCUUCUCCUUUCCUUGCAAUGCCAAAUCUAAGCCAUCGUGAAUUAGGAUAGCUUCCAUCUUUAAUUUUCACAUUCCAAAGUUUGCAUUUCUGUCAAAUUUCUCAACAUAAGACUUUGUUAGAGUUAUUUUGGCUAUUUAAACUAACCCAGUUAGAUCUGGCACUAAUACCAAUUUGUUAGGAUCGGGAACCCGGAUAGUGCGAAAUUUAGCCAAACAAUGUUAUAAUGACAAUAACAAAGACAAUACAAGUUAAUAAUAAUGGUAAUUAAAGCAUAUAAAGAAGGCACCAAUUUAACAUGGUUCGGUCAGUGUGACCUACGUCCACAAGCGGAGAGGAACAAUUUUACUAUAGUAACAAGAGUACAAAAAAGAGUAUAAAAUUAGAGUAAAUACUCUAAUUAAUCCCAAAUACCCCAAGAUAAUAACCUCACAAGAUCACUCCAAAGAAAAGGUUCACGCAAGUAUUUCCCAAUACUCAACUCUCUUAUAAAACCUCUAUAAUGAAAGAAAGAAAAGGCAAGAGACGUUUGUCUCAAACUUAGGUGUAUUUGAUAUGGACAUUUGCUAGCCUAUUUAUAAGAAAAUAGAUGGUCAUUGUAUGGAAUAUGAUUGGCCAGCAAGGCCUUUAAUGAAUGGACAUAAAAUGUCUAACAAGUGACCAGUGAAAGACCAUAGAAAAGCCAACAAGGCUUAUAGUCUAUGGCCAAAAGUAGGCCAGGUAUAUCACACAGUAGAACAAAAAGGCUAGCGCGGUGCAUAAAACAUCUCGCAUUUUCGGAAACGGCCGGACCCCAAAAGUUGUGAUAUAGAUAGUCUACCCUAACGCAAGUAUUAGUGGUUACUUCCACGGCUUGAAUUCCUGACCUAUAAGUCACAACCAGUGGCGGAUGCAAAAAUUCCGUUAAGGGGGUUCAAAAAAGAAAAGACGUUAAGAAAGAUUGUAGCUUGUGGGAAUUGAAUCAAUGAACUUACAAUGGUUUUAAACCCCCUUGACCACUAAACUAUAUUUUUGGGUUGUUACAAGGGGAUUCAAAACAUAAUAUAUAAAGGUAAAAACCAGAUUUUGUCUUAUAUAUAAAAUAUAAUUUUUCAGCGCCCCUUCCGCCCCCUAAAUCUGCCCCUCGUCACAAAGAGACAAGUUUACUAUUGCUCCAAGGCUCCCCUUAAAAUAUAAUAGCAGUAGAAUAUAUCAAUAUAAAACUUUAAUGAGGAAGAAGGGAAUAAAAACGGAUCCCUAAUUUAGCGGAACCUAAUCUCUUAAAAAACAUUAUUAACAGUACGGAAUUCCCUAAUUAUGCCAAAAAUGUAAAAUAAAAUGCUAUAUUUAAAAAAGUCCAAUAAUUAUGUGUAUAUAUAUUUAAACGAGUAGAUUAUGGGCUCAAACAAAUUUCUACAACUCAACUAAGCGAAAAGAAAAUGAUAUCACUUGGGGUGAAUCAUUAAACUAGACAAAUGGAGGGGCGAAAUCCUUUAUUUUUAUUUUUUUGUUUUAUUGUUAUGUAAAUGGAAACAAUACAUCAUUAACAAAUCAAGCUCUUGUCAUAUAUAAAUAUGUGUAAAAUCCCUCCCCUCAUAUGCCUACUAUUACAUCUAUGGCUUGUAUGGAGAAGGCAUGGGCAUACUCUUAACAAUACCGCAAAGAGGGUGGUUGUCAGGGAGGUUGUACUCAUCCCUCAAGGAGCGAGCUGGUGAGAGAACACUAAAGUAGAGUUGUUGCCCUAAGUAGUACCUCUCCCACAUCUCUGAUCUCAAGUUCCAUAGUCCAGCGUUGUCUAGGGUUGUCAUCACCGCGGCCCAUGAGUUUGGAUAGACUUGGAUGCUGUGCCUGCUUACUGCAUCCACCAAGUUGUAGUUCUUUCUUUUCUCGGCACUCCACUUCCCUGGCUCGAUGGCCACUGCGAAAAAGGAAUAUCCGUCCAAGUGAUAGGUUUGGAUGGUCUUCUCACGGUUCUCAAAGAUGAUCUCUACAAAGUUACGGAAGGUGGCAUUCUUGAUAUUGGGGGCGACGGUCACCUUGUUCAGGUCGUCAGUUUGGGGUUCAUCAGCCAUGAGAUCAUACUUGAACAUCUUCUCGGUGACUCCGAAGUAUUCAGCAAGCUUGAAUGGGGUUUCUGCAGCAUUAGUGUGGGAGAUGCCGUUCAAGGCAAAUCGAAGCUUUCCAUCUACUUCGGUCCUAGAGUUGACAAUCUUGAAAGUACGGGUGAUGUUGAUCUGUCCGUAGUGGUAGGAUCCUUGAGGGUUGGGGCGGGCAGCACUAGCAGUAAGGUUCCAUCUGAAGGAGCGAAACUGGUUAAUGGACCAAGCAAUGCCUUGGGUGUUUUCUGGUGGAGGUGCUGGGAGGUCAGAAGAUGCUGGUCCCUUACCAUUGGCAUAUCGAAUGAUAGCCACGGAAGAGAGUUGCGCUUGCUUCAGGAACCUACUAGAAACAAUCAUGUAAUAGUCCUUGGGCUCUUGAUCAGCAGUGACCAACACCGAAAGGCAUUGACCAACAUGGAGGUCAAGGGACUCAUACACGUUCUGCACAGUGUGGGAUCCCUCCAUUUCCACCAACUUCAUGGGGUGGCCUUGAAUCCUGAAGUUGACUGAUGUCCUCAUGCCAGCAUUGCACACCCUGUACCUAUAGGUCUUGCCAGCCUCCAUGGUGAAGAGUGGCUCAGCAACCUUGUCACCGACCUUGACGGAUUUUCCAUUGAUGUGGAUGCCAUCGGGUCUGCCAAUUGUGCGUCCCCCAUCUAAGAUCUUCUUCAACGACUUGUAACCCUUGUUGUACCAAUCACCCACAAAUACGUUAUAUUCAUCGGCAGGGUUAUCAAAAGGAACGGGAAUAAGGGCACGGCUAUGGACAUUGAUGGCACCAAAACCACCAGCAGCACGAUGCAAGUCUGUUGUGGGGAAGUAGAAGAAGCUACCGAUCUGGUCCUUGACUUGGAAGCGGUAGGUGAAGUUUGUACCGGGCAUG